AUAAUAGAGGCGCGGGAUUCAUAAGUAUCUUCUGGCAAGGACAGGCAUCCGUCGGAAGAGAAAGGGGAGACCGCCGAAGCCUGACAGGCAGCCUGAGCCUGAAGGGCUGGGACAGAGCAUAACAUGUUCUGGACUGUCACAAGGUACUUGUGGAGCGCUAUUG
Molecule: non-coding RNA, 163 nt
Filed under: chicken gut metagenome
Description: Lysine riboswitch
Rfam family: Lysine riboswitch aptamer
About the family: Riboswitches are metabolite binding domains within certain messenger RNAs that serve as precision sensors for their corresponding targets.
Source: RNAcentral